Molecule: ribosomal RNA, 428 nt
Filed under: uncultured Acidobacterium sp.
Lineage: Bacteria; Pseudomonadati; Acidobacteriota; Terriglobia; Terriglobales; Acidobacteriaceae
Description: bacterial SSU rRNA
Rfam family: Bacterial small subunit ribosomal RNA
Source: RNAcentral
AACGCGAAGAACCUUACCUGGGCUCGAACGGCUCACGAACGUCCUUGGAAACAGGGAUUUCCCGCAAGGGACGGGAGUCGAGGUGCUGCAUGGCUGUCGUCAGCUCGUGUCGUGAGAUGUUGGGUUAAGUCCCGCAACGAGCGCAACCCUUGUCCUGUGUUGCCAUCAUUCAGUUGGGAACUCGCAGGAGACCGCCAGCGAUAAGCUGGAGGAAGGUGGGGAUGACGUCAAGUCCUCAUGGCCUUUAUGUCCAGGGCUACACACGUGCUACAAUGGCCGGUACAAUGCGCUGCUAAGUCGCAAGACGGAGCCAAUCGCAAAAAACCGGUCUCAGUUCGGAUUGCAGGCUGCAACUCGCCUGCAUGAAGCUGGAAUCGCUAGUAAUGGCAUAUCAGAACGAUGCCGUGAAUACGUUCCCGGGCCUUGUA